RNAcentral lists this ribosomal RNA (133 nucleotides) under uncultured Xiphinematobacteriaceae bacterium. RNAcentral's name for it is "partial 16S ribosomal RNA". It matches the Rfam family "Bacterial small subunit ribosomal RNA", at positions 355 to 502 of the family's 1533-position model. Lineage: Bacteria; Pseudomonadati; Verrucomicrobiota; Spartobacteria. The record is from RNAcentral.
UCGAGAAUUUUUCACAAUGGGGGAAACCCUGAUGGAGCGACGCCGCGUGGAGGAUGAAGGUCUUCGGGUUGUAAACUCCUGUCAUGCGGGAACAAGAAAGUGAUAGUACCGCAAGAGGAAGAGACGGCUAACU